Molecule: long non-coding RNA, 1015 nt
Filed under: Phasianus colchicus (ring-necked pheasant)
Lineage: Eukaryota; Metazoa; Chordata; Aves; Galliformes; Phasianidae
Description: lncRNA (ENSPCLG00000001797.1)
Source: RNAcentral
GUCCAGUGCAACUUGUUAUGGUAGGAAAACCAGUAAGAACUCUCAGCCCUCAUCAGUUACGACAAACAAUUACGGGGCUUGCUCAGUUAAGCAGCGCAACAUGACAUCUCCGACGAGUCUGUUCUUUGAAAACUUACCUCAUUCCUAACUCUACAGCUCCGCCAUGUGGAGACCAUCACUAGUGUGCUCAGAACAGCAGCAAAGCGGUGGAAACGUAACACAGACAAUAGGAAUGACAUUUCCAGGGCAGCACUGAAGGAGGAUAUCUGAUGGAAGUGCUGCUCUAUCUCAGUUGGACUGUCUGCCCAGCUCAGUGCCUCGCCAAUGCCUGACGCUCAGAGAAUGCCUCAGAAGAUCCAAGUGGAAGUGCAACAUGCUAAAGUGAGGAAAUCCAUACCCCAGCUCAAUUACAGCUUAGAAUUUGAUUGUUUGUUUUUCUCCUAAGGUCCCACUGGCAAAAACUGGAUCCAGGUUGAAAGUGAUGGCUAAACUGCCUCUGAGCAACCCAUACCAGCUCCUGUCUGAGCAUCUGCUGUCAGAGGCCCCUUACGUUCUGUUUCCUACCUUUUAAAGGUAGCAGCAGCAGUGACUGAGUACUGCAGUUACUUUCUCCCGGCAGCCAGCAGACCUAAAAGGCCGUCUGUUUUCUCUCCUGACUACAAUCAUUGUAAGCCCGGAGGUGCUGGAGGCACACCGCAGCACAGACACCUAUGGCUGAGGAAGCCAAAAGAAAUCUGUCUUUGUGCAUCUGACUCGUCUUUGGAGAAAAAGGGAGAGAUUGGAAGAAGUAAAAGCAAGAGGAACAAAAACAAUGCUGAAGUUCCUAAAACAAACAAACAACAAAAAAAAACCAGGUAUGUCAACAGGCAAUUUUGGGAGAUCUUAGUAUGCUUCUUUGUCGUCUUUUCAUGCGAGAUCUUUUUUCCUUAAAAUCCAUGCCCUGUCAACUAAGGCACUUAUUGAAAAAUCAAGAAUGCAAAAUGUAAGAUUGCAAAUCAUGCAAGAAUGACCAAGG